This 279-nucleotide ribosomal RNA is filed under the name uncultured bacterium. RNAcentral's name for it is "partial 16S ribosomal RNA". It matches the Rfam family "Bacterial small subunit ribosomal RNA", at positions 506 to 784 of the family's 1533-position model. The record is from RNAcentral.
UGCCAGCCGCCGCGGUAACACGGGGGGUGCAAGCGUUAUUCGGAAUUACUGGGCGUAAAGCGCGCGUAGGCGGAUUAGUCAGUCAGAGGUGAAAUCCCAGGGCUCAACCCUGGAACUGCCUUUGAUACUGCUAGUCUUGAGUUCGAGAGAGGUGAGUGGAAUUCCGAGUGUAGAGGUGAAAUUCGUAGAUAUUCGGAGGAACACCAGUGGCGAAGGCGGCUAACUGGCUCGGUACUGACGCUGAGAUGCGAAAGCGUGGGGAGCGAAGAGGAUUAGAUA